CCUGCCCUGAGAGACCUUGCAGGCAUGGCUGCUGUGUGACAUGUGUGUCAGUAGGUGUCAGAGAAGAGGGAGGCUAUGUCUAAGCUCAGUGUUCUGACCUGUGGACAUCUGAAUGAUUAGUAGCCAAAUGCU
This 132-nucleotide small nucleolar RNA is filed under the name Mus caroli (Ryukyu mouse). RNAcentral's name for it is "predicted gene, 23200 (MGP_CAROLIEiJ_G0036077.1)". It matches the Rfam family "Small nucleolar RNA SNORA17". Rfam says of the family: snoRNA ACA 17 belongs to the H/ACA family of snoRNAs and is predicted to guide pseudouridylation of the 28S rRNA at positions U4659 and U4598. It shares the same host gene together with ACA43. Lineage: Eukaryota; Metazoa; Chordata; Mammalia; Rodentia; Muridae. The record is from RNAcentral.